GGGCCCGCACAAGCGGUGGAGCAUGUGGUUUAAUUCGAUGAUACGCGAGGAACCUUACCAGGACUUAAAUGUAAGUUGCAUGAUUCAGAAAUGGAUCUUUCUUCGGACUACUUACAAGGUGCUGCAUGGUUGUCGUCAGCUCGUGCCGUGAGGUGUCAGGUUAAGUCCUAUAACGAGCGCAACCCCUAUCGUUAGUUGCCAUCAAGUAAAGUUGGGAACUCUAGCGAAACUGCCGGUGCAAACCGUGAGGAAGGUGGGGAUGACGUCAAAUCAUCACGGCCCUUACGUCCUGGGCCACACACGUGCUACAAUGGUAGGUACAGAGGGAAGCCACCCCGCGAGGGGAGCGGA
This 351-nucleotide ribosomal RNA is filed under the name uncultured bacterium. RNAcentral's name for it is "bacterial SSU rRNA". It matches the Rfam family "Bacterial small subunit ribosomal RNA", at positions 917 to 1271 of the family's 1533-position model. The record is from RNAcentral.